CAGGCUGCAGCAGCUCCAUCCUUACACAGAGACGCUUGCUUCUUGGUGCCUGUAGAGGGAGCUGCAGUGACAGCGCAGCACACAGCUCCUCUCAGGAGGUACUGUACUUGUACGUGAGGUGAAAGAGAAAAAGGCUGGUGACGGUGAGGGCACUGGGUAGGCAGUGGAUGUGUCCAAUACUCUCACUGAAUCCAGUUCACUUAAGUCUUUGCAGUGGCGACGGUCCUAAGAGGAGCCCAGUCCAGUGCCCAGGAGAAACACUGGACUGCAGGAGAAACAGCCCAGGCAGCUUGGAACUGGAGGAUAGCAGUGGUAUUUUGAAAUGCCAGAAGAGAGGGCUGAGGUCUGAGCAGGAUUCUGGAUGUCUUUGUUUUCCUCAUUUGAAGAAAGAAUGCGUCUUUGGCUACUUACCAGAAAAAGAAAAAAAAAAAUGGGUGGCAACAGAUAUAGUUAAAGUCAAAUUCCUCCUUCUUUUUUUUCAUCCCUUUGCAUCCUCUGCAGUUCGCUUGGAAAAAGCAGCAAGUCCAUCUUCUAUAUUUAAACUUGGGUAUUCUCCUGUGGGAACAUUCAUUAGCAAUCUAACAUUCCUCUCAAUGAAUAAAGUAGUGGGCAAACAGCUGUGUUAUUCCAUCUGAUAGGCCAGUGUCUUCUCCACCAGA
Molecule: long non-coding RNA, 659 nt
Organism: Pseudophryne corroboree (corroboree frog)
Lineage: Eukaryota; Metazoa; Chordata; Amphibia; Anura; Myobatrachidae
Exons: 3
Source: RefSeq, a predicted model, not a curated record